Non-coding RNA from Hyaloscypha finlandica, 81 nucleotides. NCBI's taxonomy places the organism in Eukaryota, Fungi, Ascomycota, Leotiomycetes, Helotiales, Hyaloscyphaceae. The record is from the annotation of a GenBank genome assembly.
GACCCUAUAGUGUAAUAGUAGCACGGUUUCGCCGGUGUCCACCGGUCGAAGAACGUAGAGGUUCGAUUCCUCUUGGGGUCA